Cercocebus atys (sooty mangabey) is the source of this 414-nucleotide long non-coding RNA. RefSeq lists it as uncharacterized. The record is from RefSeq and is a predicted model, not a curated record. Lineage: Eukaryota; Metazoa; Chordata; Mammalia; Primates; Cercopithecidae. The transcript has 2 exons.
CCUUGGCCUCCUAAAGUGGUAGGAUUACAGGCGUGCACCCCCGCAGCCAGCAGACAUCCUAUUUUUUUUUACUAGUGUGGAUCACUGUAAAGGCAACAUGGUUUAAGUGACAGCCACCAUGGUAGCUUCCAGGUGUUGUAUUUUCCAGAUCAUGGCAGGGCAGCAGCUUCCUUAGCAGUCCAGCUCUGCAGUGUGGCUGAGGUACUCUUAGGAAGUCAGCUGGAACCUGCUGACUUCCAACACGCUCUGUGAAUCUGCUAUUUACUACCAUAUCAUAUAUCCUUUUAGGAUUAAACUAGGUAGAACGUGGUACACUCUCUGUUUCACCCUGUCAAAUACAACUACGAAACCCAAAGCAGGAAUAUUUGGCUGUCAUAUCAAGUAAUUCAGACAACCAUCUAAAACACUUAUAAA